Molecule: unclassified non-coding RNA, 223 nt
Filed under: uncultured Chytridiomycota
Lineage: Eukaryota; Fungi; Chytridiomycota
Description: sequence contains ITS2
Source: RNAcentral
AAAACCUCACCUGGUUUCUUGCUUUCGAGCAUUGAGCUGUGGUGGUUUUGGAUUUUUGCAAUUGCAAUCAUCUUAAAGUGAUUGUUUGUGCACCAAUGUAAACUUUUGGUUGUUCAAGUGCAACAGAUUUAUCUUUUUCGCUUUGACAUCUGAAUAGUCUCUUGAUGUGCAUUCUCAAUUAAAUUGUUGGAAUUCAAAUCAGUAUGAUUCGGCAUUCCCAAAA